RNAcentral lists this ribosomal RNA (270 nucleotides) under uncultured bacterium. RNAcentral describes it as "partial 16S ribosomal RNA". It matches the Rfam family "Bacterial small subunit ribosomal RNA", at positions 524 to 794 of the family's 1533-position model. The record is from RNAcentral.
UACGUAUGUCGCAAGCGUUAUCCGGAAUUAUUGGGCGUAAAGCGCGUCUAGGCGGCCUUUUAAGUCUGAUGUGAAAAUGCGGGGCUCAACUCCGUAUUGCGUUGGAAACUGGAAGGCUAGAGUAUCAGAGAGGUGGGCGGAACUACAAGUGUAGAGGUGAAAUUCGUAGAUAUUUGUAGGAAUGCCGAUGGGGAAGCCAGCUCACUGGAUGAAUACUGACGCUAAAGCGCGAAAGCGUGGGGAGCAAACGGGAUUAGAUACCCGCGUAGU